UGACAGUACUCCUACGGGGAGGCAGCAGUGGGGGAAUAUUGCACAAUGGGCGCAAGCCUGAUGCAGCCAUGCCGCGUGUGUGAAGAAGGCCUUCGGGUUGUAAAGCACUUUCAGUCGUGAGGAAGGUAGUGUAGUUAAUAGCUGCAUUAUUUGACGUUAGCGACAGAAGAAGCACCGGCUAACUCCGUGCCAGCAGCCGCGGUAAUACGGAGGGUGCGAGCGUUAAUCGGAAUUACUGGGCGUAAAGCGCAUGCAGGUGGUUUGUUAAGUCAGAUGUGAAAGCCCGGGGCGUCAACCUCGGAAUAGCAUUUGAAACUAGGCAGACUAGAGUACUGUAGAGGGGGGUAGGAAUUUCAGGUGUAGCGGUGAAAUGCGUAGAGAUCUGAAGGAAUACCGGUGGCGAAGGCGGCCCCCUGGACAGAUACUGACACUCAGAUGCGAAAGCGUGGGGAGCAAACAGGAUUAGAUACCCUGGUAG
This 478-nucleotide ribosomal RNA is filed under the name uncultured bacterium. RNAcentral's name for it is "bacterial SSU rRNA". It matches the Rfam family "Bacterial small subunit ribosomal RNA", at positions 328 to 793 of the family's 1533-position model. The record is from RNAcentral.